UACGUAGGGUGCGAGCGUUGUCCGGAAUUAUUGGGCGUAAAGAGCUCGUAGGCGGUUUGUCGCGUCUGCUGUGAAAACUCGGGGCUCAACUCCGAGCUUGCAGUGGGUACGGGCAGACUAGAGUGCGGUAGGGGAGACUGGAAUUCCUGGUGUAGCGGUGGAAUGCGCAGAUAUCAGGAGGAACACCGGUGGCGAAGGCGGGUCUCUGGGCCGUAACUGACGCUGAGGAGCGAAAGCAUGGGGAGCGAACAGG
This 253-nucleotide ribosomal RNA is filed under the name uncultured bacterium. Its description in RNAcentral is "partial 16S ribosomal RNA". It matches the Rfam family "Bacterial small subunit ribosomal RNA", at positions 524 to 776 of the family's 1533-position model. The record is from RNAcentral.